AAUAGAUACCCGGGUAGUCCACGCCGUAAACGAUGAAUGCUAGGUGUUAGGGGUUUCGAUACCCUUGGUGCCGAAGUUAACACGUUAAGCAUUCCGCCUGGGGAGUACGGCCGCAAGGCUGAAACUCAAAGGAAUUGACGGGGACCCGCACAAGCAGUGGAGUAUGUGGUUUAAUUCGAAGCAACGCGAAGAACCUUACCAGGUCUUGACAUCCCCCUGACCGGUACAGAGAUGUACCUUUCCUUCGGGACAGGGGAGACAGGUGGUGCAUGGUUGUCGUCAGCUCGUGUCGUGAGAUGUUGGGUUAAGUCCCGCAACGAGCGCAACCCUUGACUUUAGUUGCCAGCAAGUAAGGUUGGGCACUCUAGAGUGACUGCCGGUGACAAACCGGAGGAAGGUGGGGAUGACGUCAAAUCAUCAUGCCCCUUAUGACCUGGGCUACACACGUACUACAAUGGCCGGUGCAACGGGAAGCGAAGGAGCGAUCUGGAGCGAAUCCUUGAAAGCCAGUCUCAGUUCGGAUUGCAGGCUGCAACUCG
This 539-nucleotide ribosomal RNA is filed under the name uncultured bacterium. RNAcentral describes it as "bacterial SSU rRNA". It matches the Rfam family "Bacterial small subunit ribosomal RNA", at positions 777 to 1314 of the family's 1533-position model. The record is from RNAcentral.